GACGAACGCUGGCGGCGUGCCUAAUACAUGCCAGUAGAACGCUGAAGGAGGAGCUUGCUUCUCUGGAUGAGUUGCGAACGGGUGAGUAACGCGUAGGUAACCUGCCUUGUAGCGGGGGAUAACUAUUGGAAACGAUAGCUAAUACCGCAUAAUAGUAGAUGUUGCAUGACAUUUGCUUAAAAGGUGCAAUUGCAUCACUACCAGAUGGACCUGCGUUGUAUUAGCCAGUUGGUGGGGUAACGGCUCACCAAGGCGACGAUACAUAGCCGACAUGAGAGGGUGAUCGGCCACACUGGGAGUGAGACACGGCCCAGACGACUACGGGAGGCAGCAGUAGGGCAUCUUAGGCAAUGGACGGAAGUCUGACCGAGCAACGCCGAGUGAGUGAAGAAGGUUUUCGGAUCGUAAAGCUCUGUUGUAAGAGAAGAACGAGUGUGAGCGUGGAAAGUUCACACUGUGACGGUAUCUUACAAGAAAGGGACGGCUAACUACGUG
This 495-nucleotide ribosomal RNA is filed under the name uncultured bacterium. RNAcentral's name for it is "partial 16S ribosomal RNA". It matches the Rfam family "Bacterial small subunit ribosomal RNA", at positions 28 to 507 of the family's 1533-position model. The record is from RNAcentral.